UACGUAGGUGGCAAGCGUUGUCCGGAAUUACUGGGUGUAAAGCGCGUGUAGGCGGCAGACCAAGUCGGCGGUGAAAGCGCCCGGCUCAACUGGGCGAGGUCCGUGGAAACUGGUCAGCUGGAGGACGGUAGAGGCGAGUGGAAUUCCCGGUGUAGUGGUGAAAUGCGUAGAGAUCGGGAAGGAACACCUGUGGCGAAGGCGGCUCGCUGGGCCGGUCCUGACGCUGAGGUGCGAAAGCGUGGGGAGCAAACAGG
RNAcentral lists this ribosomal RNA (254 nucleotides) under uncultured bacterium. Its description in RNAcentral is "partial 16S ribosomal RNA". It matches the Rfam family "Bacterial small subunit ribosomal RNA", at positions 524 to 776 of the family's 1533-position model. The record is from RNAcentral.